AUAUCAAUAAGCGGAGGAAAAGAAACCAACAGGGAUUGCCUCAGUAACGGCGAGUGAAGCGGCAACAGCUCAAAUUUGAAAUCUGGCCUUCUGGUCCGAAUUGUAAUUUGUAGAGGAUGCUUCGAACAUGGUCCGGUCUAAGUUCCUUGGAACAGGACGUCAUAGAGGGUGAGAACCCCGUAUGUGACUGGGUGCCUAAGUUCAUGUGAAGCUCCUUCAACGAGUCGAGUUGUUUGGGAAUGCAGCUCAAAAUGGGUGGUAAAUUUCAUCUAAGACUAAAUAUUGAUGGGAGACCGAUAGCGCACAAGUA
This 310-nucleotide ribosomal RNA is filed under the name uncultured Helotiales. RNAcentral's name for it is "partial large subunit ribosomal RNA". It matches the Rfam family "Eukaryotic large subunit ribosomal RNA", at positions 40 to 350 of the family's 3401-position model. The record is from RNAcentral. Lineage: Eukaryota; Fungi; Ascomycota; Leotiomycetes; Helotiales.